AAGAGAAUGAAAAGAAGGAAAAGAACAAAGAGAAAUGAAAGGGCAAGUGAAACGCGCGCCGUUCAUUUUUCUUUGCUCUUUUUGCUUCUUUCAUUCAGUUCUUGGGUUCUUUUCCUCUUUUCUCUUUUCCCUUUUGGUUCGUGCUUUCAUUACAACACAAAAGGCAAAAGAAGAAAAGGGAAAAGGACCUAAGAACCCUUGACUGGCCUGGAUUGUUCUGUGGUGUGUUGUGUGGUGGCUGAAGAGAAAAGAAACGGGCAAAGAAAUGAAAUGAAUGCGCGCCGUUCUUUUU
Molecule: non-coding RNA, 292 nt
Filed under: Symbiodinium sp. CCMP2430
Lineage: Eukaryota; Dinophyceae; Suessiales; Symbiodiniaceae
Source: RNAcentral